GUAUACAAGGUCGAUAUGGCUGUGACAGCUGUCACUCCAUAGAUGAUUAGGGUUGAUUCAGUCAAUCUGGCUGGCUAGGUGGGAGGCCCCUCACCCCUCACUGCUUGCUGUGUGUCCCUCUGGAAGCUUGGCCAAAGAGGACGAUGGAGAAGGACUGUUACCCCUUAUGGAGGACAACUGUUUCUCCCCACAAGGGUAUAUAAGAAGCCACACUCCCCUGCUAGAACCUCCAAAUGAGCUCUCAAGGAAUGAAAGAAAACAUCCCUAAUUAAACAAAGGGGAUUUUAUCUUAGUCAACAGGAACCACUGCUAUACGUCCCAGGAAAUACUCAAACGGAGCAUUGAAUGUCUUU
Molecule: unclassified non-coding RNA, 353 nt
Organism: Fukomys damarensis (Damara mole-rat)
Lineage: Eukaryota; Metazoa; Chordata; Mammalia; Rodentia; Bathyergidae
Gene: 7SK
Rfam family: 7SK RNA
About the family: 7SK was discovered as an abundant small nuclear RNA in the mid-70s but a possible function has only recently been suggested.
Source: Ensembl